Halichondria panicea is the source of this 1097-nucleotide long non-coding RNA. RefSeq lists it as uncharacterized. The record is from RefSeq and is a predicted model, not a curated record. The transcript has 4 exons. NCBI's taxonomy places the organism in Eukaryota, Metazoa, Porifera, Demospongiae, Suberitida, Halichondriidae.
UGUACUAAAAUUAUUGUUUUGACCAAAUAUAUGUGACACUAAGUACUCAUGAAACAGCUACUUGGUACUAUACAAAGUCUGCAAAUCUGCGAAAGAAUCAAUAACUUAAACUGACCUUCACUGAUUGAGAGUGUGAUGGACUUAAUGAGUCGAAGCUCUGACUGCCAACACAGACUCUGAGGAGGACUCAAGCUGAAAUGCAACCGAUGACAGAACGAGAGAGGGAGAAAAUACUCAACGGAGAAGUACGAAUGCCUCUUAUUGAAAGACUGGAAGCUAAGCUUUUAAAUGUUACUGCGAGAGGUGGUUCAAAGAUAAAAAUUAAAGUUAUAAUUACACGAGCUUGCAAAUACACAUCCUAAACACUUAAUUUGAUUGUGUACAUACUUGACAAUUGUAUAUAAUUACAGGUGGCAGUUAUAGCAUAGAUAAACGAACAGAAAAGGAUUGGAAACGCCUAUCUGGCCCACGUAAUAGAGGCUAGUUACGGUCACAUGACAGGAAGCUCUAAAAUUAACUCUUCUUCCACUGCAAGCCCAUAGCAACGAUAAUUAUGUAUGCACGCAUGUUUGACAUAUCCAUGGCAGCAAAUAUAGCUGCUAUGUCCAAUACUAACCCCCACCCCCCACAGCUCCCUGCCCCACACUGAGUCCGCUGUCUAUAAUGGAAUGAUCUCAUACGAUGCAACCACCAACAUGGCCACCUACACCUGUGACACUGGGUACACCAUCAGUGGAACCAUAGAUAGAAGAGUAAUUACUUGUAGGAGUGAUGGUACCUGGUCUCCAACACCACCCACUUGUACAAACUGUAAUAGAGGUUCAACUCUGGUGGAGCAUGCUACUGUUUACAUCCCUGAAGAAGAAGAUGCAUCUGCUGAACUUAUGAUGAGAGGAUCUGUUGUUGUGUUGUGUCCAACUUGUUAGAUCUAAUAAUUGUCCAACUUGUUAGAUCUAGUUACACUAGUACAAUUUUGCUCGGAAGCAAGAAGCAAAGUGUAUUAAACGUAGAGAGACACUGCAACAUCAGACAUAAUUUUUAAUUGUUUUGUAAAAUUAAUUGUAUAAUAAAUAAAUCGAUUAUAAAUUAUUAUUAUU